AUUGAACGCUGGCAGCAGGCCUAACACAUGCAAGUCGAACGGUAACAGAAAGCAGCUUGCUGCUUUGCUGACGAGUGGCGGACGGGUGAGUAAUGUCUGGGAAACUGCCUGAUGGAGGGGGAUAACUACUGGAAACGGUAGCUAAUACCGCAUAACGUCGCAAGACCAAAGAGGGGGACCUUCGGGCCUCUUGCCAUCGGAUGUGCCCAGAUGGGAUUAGCUAGUAGGUGGGGUAACGGCUCACCUAGGCGACGAUCCCUAGCUGGUCUGAGAGGAUGACCAGCCACACUGGAACUGAGACACGGUCCAGACUCCUACGGGAGGCAGCAGUGGGGAAUAUUGCACAAUGGGCGCAAGCCUGAUGCAGCCAUGCCGCGUGUAUGAAGAAGGCCUUCGGGUUGUAAAGUACUUUCAGCGGGGAGGAAGGGAGUAAAGUUAAUACCUUUGCUCAUUGACGUUACCCGCAGAAGAAGCACCGGCUAACUCCGUG
This 490-nucleotide ribosomal RNA is filed under the name uncultured bacterium. RNAcentral's name for it is "partial 16S ribosomal RNA". It matches the Rfam family "Bacterial small subunit ribosomal RNA", at positions 30 to 507 of the family's 1533-position model. The record is from RNAcentral.